AAGACAACUUCCUUCUGCAAGUAAUAGAGGAGCCGACAAGGAGAGGUGCCAUGCUUGACCUCGUCCUCACCAACAGGGAAGGGCUGGCUGGGAAUGUAACGCUCCAGGGCAGCCUUGAUUGCAGCGAUCAUGAGAUGGUUGAGUUUGAGAUCCUCAGGACAGUGAGAAGAGCGUGCAGCAAGCUCACUGCCCUGGACUUCAAGAGAGCAGACUUUGGCCUCCUCAGGAACCUGCUCAGUAAGGUUCCAUGGGAUACAGCCCUAGAGGGCAGGGGGGCCCAAGACUGUUGGUUGAUAUUCAAGGAUCACCUGCUGCAAGCUCAGGAGCGAUGCAUCCCAACUAGAAGGAAGUUUAGCAGGAGGGCCAGGAGACCUCCUUGGAUGGAUAAGGAGCUGCUGAGCAAAAUUCGAAAGAAAAAAGAGGCUUAUAAAAGGUGGAAGCAAGGUCAGGCGGCCUGGGGAGAAUACAGGGAUGUUGUCCGGGAAGCUAGGGACCAGGUUAGGAAAGCUAAGGCCCACUUAGAAUUAAACUUGACUAGGGAUGUUAAGGAUAACAGGAAGGGAUUUUAUAGGUACAUUGCCAAUAAAAGACAGGUUAGGGACACCGUGGGCCCUCUCCAGAAGCUAUCGGGAGAACUGGCUACCCUGGAUUUGGAGAAGGCUGAGGUUCUUAAUGACUUCUUUGCCUCAGUCUUUACGGGCAAAUGCUCUGACCACACCACCCAAGUCUUGGAAGGCAGACGCGGGGACGGUGAGGGUGGGGACCCUGGGCCCACUGUGGGGGAGGAUCUUGUUCGGGACCACCUUAGGAACCUGAAUGUAUACAAGUCCAUGGGACCGGAUGAAAUCCAUCCAAGGGUCCUGAAGGAGCUGGCAAAUGAAGUUGCUAAGCCACUGUCCAUCAUAUUUGAAAAAUCAUGGCAGUCAGGUGAAGUUCCCGAUGACUGGAAAAAGGGAAAUAUAACCCCCAUUUUUAAGAAGGGGAAAAUGGAUGAGCCAGGGAAUUACAGACCAGUCAGUCUCACCUCUGUGCCUGGCAAAAUCUUGGAGCGGAUUCUCCUGGAAGGCAUGCUAAGGCACAUGAAAACAAACA
This 1092-nucleotide long non-coding RNA is filed under the name Amazona collaria (yellow-billed parrot). Its description in RNAcentral is "lncRNA (ENSACOG00000007114.1)". The record is from RNAcentral. Lineage: Eukaryota; Metazoa; Chordata; Aves; Psittaciformes; Psittacidae.